ACCGGGCGUGGUGGUGCGUGCCUGUAGUCCCAGCGACUCGGGAUGCUGAGAAGGGAGGAUCGCUUGAAUCCAGGAGUUCUGGGCUGCAGUGCGCUAAGCCCAUGGGUGUCCGCACUAAAUUCGGCAUCAAUAUGGUGACCUCCCGGGAGCGGGGGACCACCGGGUUGCCUAAGGAGGGGUGAACCAGCCCAGGUCGGAAACAGAACAGGUCAAAGCUCCUGUGCUGAUCAGAAGUCUGGAAGCUCUGAACAACUUACUGUUAACCAAAGUGCCCCAUGACUUCUGUUGACCAAGACAGAUCACA
RNAcentral lists this signal recognition particle RNA (304 nucleotides) under Chinchilla lanigera (long-tailed chinchilla). Its description in RNAcentral is "Metazoan signal recognition particle RNA (ENSCLAG00000021458.1)". It matches the Rfam family "Metazoan signal recognition particle RNA". Rfam says of the family: The signal recognition particle (SRP) is a universally conserved ribonucleoprotein. It is involved in the co-translational targeting of proteins to membranes. Lineage: Eukaryota; Metazoa; Chordata; Mammalia; Rodentia; Chinchillidae. The record is from RNAcentral.